UCUGUAGAGAGAGGCUGGCGGCCGUAUUCUUCUUUACCUCCCAAGACAACUUCUUUCUCGUCAUCACCAACCUAACCUCCACCCCCAAUCUUUCGUCAUGAGUAGAUGGCGAUGAAUGCCGAGACAGCGGAGGGGAUGCCGCCGUCACGCUCCUCGUUUUCUGAAAUGGUUCGUCGAAAGUUUCAGCCUUCGUCGCUGCUGUCCGCCGCGACAACUACCGGACCGGGUUUGGUGCGAUCCACUCCGCUGUCUUGACGUUCGUCACCAUCUACACGCAGCCGUUUUCACUCAAACCAAGCGAGCUCCUCCCAUCACAUCACGAAGAAAAACAAUGAGAAAUGAAGAGCUGAUAUGGCUGGAGGAAUUCUUAUUGAAGUAGCAUGUUUAACAUUGCCUAUUGUUAAACAUUGCCUAUUCUUAUGCCAUAUUUUUUCUGAUGAGAUUGAUGCUUGGUGAAUUACUGCUAUUAUUUGUGUUCUCUUGGCCUCAAACUGCCAGUCUUAUCGAUGAUAUUCUAUCUCUUGGUUUCUAUUUGUCAGUGUGUCCUGAUUUUGUUGUGGAUUCUUGUAAUUUGGGAAUAUUAAUUGAUAAUGAAGGACUAGUUUUCUCCUUCUCUCUUUCUUUACAACCUCUGUUAUAUUUUCUCAUUUCUACUGUAUUGUGUGUGUGUGUGUGUGUUGUAUUUGGUGUGCUGGUUUUGUCUUCAAUUGCAUCUUAUUUGGGCGCUGAUUGAAUUUUGCAGGUUUCUAUAUUAUCGAUGACAUUCUAUCUCUUGUUUUAUUCCCACCUAAAGGACAAGUUGAAUAAGAUGGAGGACUCAAGGUGAGUCUAAUCUAGAGGCACAGCGGACGACAGGAUCCUAAUCAUAGUGGAGCAGUCUAGUCAUGGAGGAAGAUUAGAAGCAGGCUAGUAGCAGUAUUUUUCAAAACCAUUUAGAUAGUUACCCUUUUUGUAUAAGAAAUUAUAUGUAUAAGAUCCGCCAUGCAGAGUGUAUGAACCUCUUAUGCAUUUUAUAAUGUAAAGCAUAUUUUUUGUGCUUCAGGUUUC
Rosa rugosa (rugosa rose) is the source of this 1047-nucleotide long non-coding RNA. RefSeq lists it as uncharacterized. The record is from RefSeq and is a predicted model, not a curated record. The transcript has 2 exons. Lineage: Eukaryota; Viridiplantae; Streptophyta; Magnoliopsida; Rosales; Rosaceae.